RNAcentral lists this ribosomal RNA (1023 nucleotides) under Halomonas sp. 10R9. RNAcentral's name for it is "bacterial SSU rRNA". It matches the Rfam family "Bacterial small subunit ribosomal RNA", at positions 459 to 1486 of the family's 1533-position model. Lineage: Bacteria; Pseudomonadati; Pseudomonadota; Gammaproteobacteria; Oceanospirillales; Halomonadaceae. The record is from RNAcentral.
CCCAUCAGGAAAGACAUCACUCACAGAAGAAGCACCGGCUAAUUCCGGGCCAGCAGCCGCGGUAAUACGGAGGGUGCGAGCGUUAAUCGGAAUUACUGGGCGUAAAGCGCGCGUAGGUGGCUUGAUAAGCCGGUUGUGAAAGCCCCGGGCUCAACCUGGGAACGGCAUCCGGAACUGUCAAGCUAGAGUGCAGGAGAGGAAGGUAGAAUUCCCGGUGUAGCGGUGAAAUGCGUAGAGAUCGGGAGGAAUACCAGUGGCGAAGGCGGCCUUCUGGACUGACACUGACACUGAGGUGCGAAAGCGUGGGUAGCAAACAGGAUUAGAUACCCUGGUAGUCCACGCCGUAAACGAUGUCGACCAGCCGUUGGGUGCCUAGCGCACUUUGUGGCGAAGUUAACGCGAUAAGUCGACCGCCUGGGGAGUACGGCCGCAAGGUUAAAACUCAAAUGAAUUGACGGGGGCCCGCACAAGCGGUGGAGCAUGUGGUUUAAUUCGAUGCAACGCGAAGAACCUUACCUAUGAGAGACAUCUUGCGAAUUAGUGAGAGAUCCCUUGGUGCAUUCGGGAACGCAGAGACAGGUGAUGCAUGGCUGUCGUCAGCUCGUGUUGUGAAAUGUUGGGUUAAGUCCCCUAACGAGCGCAACCCUUGUCCUUAUUUGCCAGCGCGUAAAGGCGGGAACUCUAAGGAGACUGCCGGUGACAAACCGGAGGAAGGUGGGGACGCGUCAAGUCAUCAUGGCCCUUACGAGUAGGGCUACACACGUGCUACAAUGGUCGGUACAAAGGGUUGCCAACUCGCGAGAGUGAGCCAAUCCCGAAAAGCCGAUCUCAGUCCGGAUCGGAGUCUGCAACUUGCCUCCGAGAAGUCGGAAUCGCUAGUAAUCGUGGAUCAGAAUGCCACGGAGAAUACGUUCCCGGGCCUUGUACACACCGCCCGUCACACCAUGGGAGUGGCCUGCACCAGAAGUGCUUAGCCUAACGCAAGAGGGCGAUCACCCCGGUGUGGUUCAUGACUCAGGAAGU